GUGUGUGCGCGCUAGGCCAGAGAUUCCCUAGUAUAUCUUGGCCUCAAUAUUUUCUGAAGGCCAGAAACACUGUCAUACUUGCUAUGCACUGCACUUAAAGCUCCUUUUCUUUGAGGGUAGGGACGGGAGGGGGAAAACGGGGG
This is a long non-coding RNA of Perognathus longimembris pacificus (Pacific pocket mouse), 143 nucleotides long. RefSeq lists it as uncharacterized. Lineage: Eukaryota; Metazoa; Chordata; Mammalia; Rodentia; Heteromyidae. The record is from RefSeq and is a predicted model, not a curated record. The transcript has 3 exons.